UUCCGGCAUCAAAAAUACAAGAAGCCAAAACGUGUCCAUAUAAUGAAACCGAGUGGACAGAAAGAUCGACAGAAUUCUUCUGUCAUGGGAAAGAAGUCUAUCACUGCUUUCUUGCUGAAGACAAAAAUACCGUGAAAGAAAAGUGUGUAGAAAGGUCAAUGAUGCAAAAAGGUUUUUGUCCAAUAUUCACAGACUUUGGUUAUUUACACUGGAGUCCAUGCAAUGGAACAGGAUGUCCUAACUCAUCCUACACUAGUGAUAAAGUUUACAAAUACCGAGUGUGUUUUGGUGACACGGACAAAGUCGUAACCUACAUUUCUGGUUCUAGGUAAGUCUG
This is a long non-coding RNA of Saccostrea echinata, 337 nucleotides long. RefSeq lists it as uncharacterized. The record is from RefSeq and is a predicted model, not a curated record. The transcript has 3 exons. NCBI's taxonomy places the organism in Eukaryota, Metazoa, Mollusca, Bivalvia, Ostreida, Ostreidae.